RNA transcript from Drosophila guanche, 991 nucleotides. RefSeq lists it as uncharacterized. Lineage: Eukaryota; Metazoa; Arthropoda; Insecta; Diptera; Drosophilidae. The transcript has 3 exons. The record is from RefSeq and is a predicted model, not a curated record.
GGGGUCGGUCCUCAGUGCGCCAUCGCCCACAAUGUACCCCAGGUACUUCAGGUACUUAUAGCAGAACCUAGACUUUUUCUUUCCUAUUGUCAGGUUUGCCGUCUCCAGGCACUUUGCGACUUCCUCUAGCAGCUUUACGUGCUCCUCAAACGUUCGGGAAAUCACCAACAGGUCGUCCAAAUACACAAACACGACUCGAUACUCUGAAGCGGAUACGCAUCUUUGACGGUUAGAGUAUUCAGUUUCCGAGCAUCCAAACACAGCCGGUUUUUUCCAGGCUUACGGACCAGCGUCACUCGAUUGCUCCACGGGCUUUCGCUCAGCUCGAUUACUCCAAGACGCAACAUUUCGUCGACUUCCGCAAACAACAGCUCCUGUACCGCCGGGGAUACCGGGUAAAAGCGUUCUUUUACUGGCACGGCUCCCUCCACCAGGCGUAUCUCGUGUUUUACCAUCGUCGUCCUUCCCAAUCCGUGCUUGUCAAAGCACCGAAAUUUGUCUUUCACCUGUUCCAUGCGUACUUGCUGCGACUGGGUUAAAUUAUGAGGCCUACUAUAUGCGGAGCCAAUCCAAACUUUCGCCAGAAAUCGACCCCCAGAUACAGUGCUUGCUUCAAUGACGGACACAAGAAUAACUCUAUCGGGUGCUUCUGGCCUUUGUAUGCCAUCACUACCGUCACAUGGCCUAGGAUCUGAUGAGGUGUGCCGCCCGCAGCUCACUGAUGCCCCCGUAUCGAGCAGUCCCAUCAGCGUCUUCGGGCCCAGUCUCACGUGCGCAAACGGCCUCUCGUCCCGGCUUAAUGCAGAACCGAUUGCUGCACACACGCCACGUCGUUUCCUCUGGCGUAUCUGGAACCGGUCCCGAGCCCUCUUUGCUCUAGUCGACCUCGUUAGGAUUAUUUCCGCCACCUGGCCCCCCAGUAUUCUUCUUCUGGCCUGGUUAUAUCGCUGUCGUCUUUCCUGUAACGGCUUACGCUCGGACCAUCUCGCCU